GACGAACGCUGGCGGCGUGCUUAACACAUGCGGGUCGUACGGUAAGGCCCUUUCGGGGGUACACGAGUGGCGAACGGGUGAGUAACACGUGAGUAACCUGCCCACAACUUUGGGAUAACGCUAGGAAACUGGUGCUAAUACUGGAUAUGUGCUCCUGCUGCAUGGUGGGGGUUGGAAAGCUCCGGCGGUUGUGGAUGGACUCGCGGCCUAUCAGCUUGUUGGUGGGGUAGUGGCCUACCAAGGCGGCGACGGGUAGCCGGCCUGAGAGGGUGACCGGCCACAUUGGGACUGAGAUACGGCCCAGACUCCUACGGGAGGCAGCAGUGGGGAAUAUUGCACAAUGGGCGCAAGCCUGAUGCAGCAACGCCGCGUGCGGGAUGACGGCCUUCGGGUUGUAAACCGCUUUCAGCAGGGACGAAGCUUUUUGUGACGGUACCUGCAGAAGAAGCACCGGCUAACUACGUG
Molecule: ribosomal RNA, 465 nt
Filed under: uncultured bacterium
Lineage: Bacteria
Description: partial 16S ribosomal RNA
Rfam family: Bacterial small subunit ribosomal RNA
Source: RNAcentral